RNAcentral lists this transfer RNA (65 nucleotides) under chicken gut metagenome. It matches the Rfam family "tRNA". From Rfam's summary of the family: Transfer RNA (tRNA) molecules are approximately 80 nucleotides in length. Their secondary structure includes four short double-helical elements and three loops (D, anti-codon, and T loops). Further hydrogen bonds mediate the characteristic L-shaped molecular structure. tRNAs have two regions of fundamental functional importance: the anti-codon, which is responsible for specific mRNA codon recognition, and the 3' end, to which the tRNAs corresponding amino acid is attached (by aminoacyl-tRNA synthetases). tRNAs cope with the degeneracy of the genetic code in two manners: having more than one tRNA (with a specific anti-codon) for a particular amino acid; and 'wobble' base-pairing, i.e. permitting non-standard base-pairing at the 3rd anti-codon position. The record is from RNAcentral.
CAUGUGGCUUAGUGGUAGAGCAUCACCUUGGUAAGGUGAAGGUCGACGGUUCGAUUCCGUUCAUG